GGGGAUUUAGCUAAGUGGCAGAAGCACCUGCCUUGCAAGCACACAGUCAUGAGUUCAAUCCCCG
This is a transfer RNA of Cavia porcellus (domestic guinea pig), 64 nucleotides long. It matches the Rfam family "tRNA". Rfam says of the family: Transfer RNA (tRNA) molecules are approximately 80 nucleotides in length. The record is from Rfam. NCBI's taxonomy places the organism in Eukaryota, Metazoa, Chordata, Mammalia, Rodentia, Caviidae.